CGGACGGGUGAGUAACGCGUGAGAAUCUGCCCUCAGGAGGGGGACAACAGCUGGAAACGGCUGCUAAUACCCCAUAUGCCGCGAGGUGAAAUGAAUUUCGCCUGAGGAUGAGCUCGCGUCUGAUUAGCUAGUUGGUGAGGUAAUGGCUCACCAAGGCAUCGAUCAGUAGCUGGUCUGAGAGGAUGAUCAGCCACACUGGGACUGAGACACGGCCCAGACUCCUACGGGAGGCAGCAGUGGGGAAUUUUCCGCAAUGGGCGAAAGCCUGACGGAGCAACGCCGCGUGAGGGAUGAAGGCCUCUGGGCUGUAAACCUCUUUUAUCAAGGAAGAAGAUCUGACGGUACUUGAUGAAUAAGCCACGGCUAAUUCCGUGCCAGCAGCCGCGGUAAUACGGGAGUGGCAAGCGUUAUCCGGAAUUAUUGGGCGUAAAGCGUCCGCAGGGGGCCCUUCAAGUCCUGCGUGUUAAAAAGUGGAGCCUUAACUCCCAUCAAUGGCAAGUUGGAAAACGUUGGGCUUGAGUGUGGUAGGGGCAGAGGGAAUUCCCGGUGUAGCGGUGAAAUGCGUAAGUAUCGGGAAGAACACCAGUGGCGAAGGCGUUCUGCUGGGCCAUCACUGACGCUCAUGGACGAAAGCCAGGGGAGCGAAAGGGAUUAGAUACCCCAGUAGUC
This 669-nucleotide ribosomal RNA is filed under the name uncultured marine microorganism. Its description in RNAcentral is "bacterial SSU rRNA". It matches the Rfam family "Bacterial small subunit ribosomal RNA", at positions 99 to 795 of the family's 1533-position model. The record is from RNAcentral.